Molecule: RNA transcript, 1936 nt
Organism: Pecten maximus
Lineage: Eukaryota; Metazoa; Mollusca; Bivalvia; Pectinida; Pectinidae
Exons: 2
Source: RefSeq, a predicted model, not a curated record
UAAAACCUUGAAACCAUGAACUUAUAUUUUAUAUAUAUAUAUAUUUGUGUAACUGUUCCAUGUUCUAUUUCUAAAUGUGAUCUUAUGUAAUUUACUAUGUAAUUUACCUAUGUCUUGAUAAAGGGGCAGAUUGCCUCGAAAAUUCGACGAUUUACUUGUCUGUACUGUUGUCAUUACUACUUGACAAUAUUAUCCUUUAUCAAGACAAAGGUGAAUUACAUACGAACACAUAUAGACAUAGAACAUGGUUCAAACAACAACCAAUAUAUAUAUAUAUGUUGGAGUUUCCCUCCUAUUUUCGCUCAACUUUUGUUCCCCGUGAAAAUAUUUAGUUAUUUCUCAUUUUCCCGAAUUGUUUAAAGUAUUAACGUCCACGUUACUUGACCUUUGCCAGAUCCCUGUAUUCUACGACUCUAUUAUUCAUCAACCAAUGAUAUACAUUAAUUAUAUUACGGUCAUCUAGAUAAUGGUACUCGUCACAUAUCCCUUGUUUGACUGCAGAGGGAAUAAGAAUGGGCGUGCAUUGCAUGUGUUGUGUAAACCGUUUACAAAUGUAUGAAGUCUGGUUAUAUCGUGGUGUAGGGUGUACACAGUAUGGAGUCUGGUUAUAUCGUGGUGUAGGGUGUACACAGUAUGAAGUCUGGUUAUAUCGUGGUGUAGGGUGUACACUGUAUGAAGUUUGGUUAUAUCGCGGUGUAGGGUGUACACUGUAUGAAGUCUGGUUAUAUCGUGGUGUAGGGUGUACACUGUAUGACGUCUGGUUAUAUCGUGGUGUAGGGUGUACACUGUAUGAAGUCUUGUUAUAUCGUGGUGUAGGGUGUACACAGUAUGGAGUCUGGUUAUAUCGUGGUGUAGGGUGUACACAGUAUGAAGUCUGGUUAUAUCGUGGUGUAGGGUGUACACUGUAUAAAGUCUGGUUAUAUCGCGGUGUAGGGUGUACACAGUAUGACGUCUGGUUAUAUCGUGUUGUAGGGUGUACACAGUAUGAAGUCUGGUUAUAUCGUGGUGUAGGGUGUACACAGUAUGAAGUUUGGUUAUAUCGUGGUGAAGGGUGUACACAGUAUGAAGUCUGGUUAUAUCGUGGUGUAGGGUGUACACAGUAUGAAGUCUGGUUAUAUCGUGGUGUAGGGUGUACACAGUAUGAAGUCUGGUUAUAUCGUGGUGUAGGGUGUACACUGUAUGAAGUCUGGUUAUAUCGUGGUGUAGGGUGUACACAGUAUGACGUCUGGUUAUAUCGUGGUGUAGGGUGUACACUGUAUGACGUCUGGUUAUAUCGUGGUGUAGUGUGUGUACACAGUAUGAAGUCUGGUUAUAUCGUGGUGUAGGGUGUACACUGUAUGAAGUCUGGUUAUAUCGUGGUGUGGGGUGUACACAGUAUGACGUCUGGUUAUAUCGUGGUGUGGGGUGUACACAGUAUGAAGUCUGGUUAUAUCGUGGUGUAGGGUGUACACAGUAUGAAGUCUGGUUAUAUCGUGGUGUAGGGUGUACACAGUAUGAAGUCUGGUUAUAUCGUGGUGUAGGGUGUACACUGUAUGAAGUCUGGUUAUAUCGUGGUGUAGGGUGUACACUGUAUGAAGUCUGGUUAUAUCGUGGUGUAGGGUGUACACAGUAUGAAGUCUGGUUAUAUCUCUAUAAGUCUAUAUAGUUAUAUGUCUAGGGCGUAAAAUAAUUCACCUUUGUUAGGACAUACACAACAUGGACAUAAAUAAUUCACCGAAGAUAGUACAUAAACGCCAAUACCGUGGGAAAAAUCAAACCUUUUUAUCAUUUCUUUAAUAUUUAAUCAAAGAAAAUGUAUCAAACCAGCCAUCAUACAUUGCACGCCAUGAACACCCAUGUAACCAGCCUUCAGUACAUGUUGUAUGUGUUCUAUCUACGGUGAAGUAUUUCUGUACAUGUUGUAUGUGUUCUAUCUACGGUGAAGUAUUUCUGUACA